RNAcentral lists this ribosomal RNA (613 nucleotides) under Bacillus sp. (in: firmicutes). Its description in RNAcentral is "bacterial SSU rRNA". It matches the Rfam family "Bacterial small subunit ribosomal RNA", at positions 554 to 1165 of the family's 1533-position model. The record is from RNAcentral. Lineage: Bacteria; Bacillati; Bacillota; Bacilli; Caryophanales; Bacillaceae.
UUGGGCGUAAGCGCGCGCAGGCGGCCUUUUAAGUCUGAUGUGAAAGCCCCCGGCUCAACCGGGGAGGGUCAUUGGAAACUGGAAGGCUUGAGUGCAGAAGAGAAGAGCGGAAUUCCACGUGUAGCGGUGAAAUGCGUAGAGAUGUGGAGGAACACCAGUGGCGAAGGCGGCUCUUUGGUCUGUAACUGACGCUGAGGCGCGAAAGCGUGGGGAGCGAACAGGAUUAGAUACCCUGGUAGUCCACGCCGUAAACGAUGAGUGCUAAGUGUUGGGGGGUUUCCGCCCCUCAGUGCUGCAGCUAACGCAUUAAGCACUCCGCCUGGGGAGUACGGCCGCAAGGCUGAAACUCAAAGGAAUUGACGGGGGCCCGCACAAGCGGUGGAGCAUGUGGUUUAAUUCGAAGCAACGCGAAGAACCUUACCAGGUCUUGACAUCCCGCUGACCGGUCUGGAGACAGAUCUUCCCCUUCGGGGGCAGCGGUGACAGGUGGUGCAUGGUUGUCGUCAGCUCGUGUCGUGAGAUGUUGGGGUUAAGUCCCGCAACGAGCGCAACCCUUGAUCUUAGUUGCCAGCAUUUAGUUGGGCACUCUAAGGUGACUGCCGGUGACAAACCG